UCACGAUAUGGUGCUGGCAUUCCUAACC
RNAcentral lists this non-coding RNA (28 nucleotides) under Bombyx mori (domestic silkworm). The record is from RNAcentral. Lineage: Eukaryota; Metazoa; Arthropoda; Insecta; Lepidoptera; Bombycidae.